Molecule: ribosomal RNA, 301 nt
Filed under: uncultured bacterium
Lineage: Bacteria
Description: partial 16S ribosomal RNA
Rfam family: Bacterial small subunit ribosomal RNA
Source: RNAcentral
CAGCAGCCACGGUAAUACAGAGGGUGCGAGCGUUAAUCGGAUUUACUGGGCGUAAAGCGUGCGUAGGCGGCUUCUUAAGUCGGAUGUGAAAUCCCUGAGCUUAACUUAGGAAUUGCAUUCGAUACUGGGAAGCUAGAGUAUGGGAGAGGAUGGUAGAAUUCCAGGUGUAGCGGUGAAAUGCGUAGAGAUCUGGAGGAAUACAGAUGGCGAAGGCAGCCAUCUGGCCUAAUACUGACGCUGAGGUACGAAAGCAUGGGGAGCAAACAGGAUUAGAUACCCCCGUAGUCCCUGUCUCUUAUAC